AGGGGGAUAACACUUGGGAAACAGGUGCUAAUACCGCAUAACAGUUUAUGCCGCAUGGCAUAAGAGUGAAAGGCGCUUUCGGGUGUCGCUGAUGGAUGGACCCGCGGCUGCAUUAGCUAGUUGGUGAGGUAACGGCUCACCAAGGCCACGAUGCAUAGCCGACCUGAGACGGGGACCAACUCUACUGGGACUGAGACACGGCCCAGACUCCUACGGGAGGCAGCAGUAGGGAAUCUUCGGCAAUGGACGAAAGUCUGACCGAGCAACGCCGCGUGAGUGAAGAAGGUUUUCGGAUCGUAAAACUCUGUUGUUAGAGAAGAACAAGGACGUUAGUAACUGAACGUCCCCUGACGGUAUCUAACCAGAAAGCCACGGCUAACUACGUGCCAGCAGCCGCGGUAAUACGUAGGUGGCAAGCGUUGUCCGGAUUUAUUGGGCGUAAAGCGAGCGCAGGCGGUUUCUUAAGUCUGAUGUGAAAGCCCCCGGCUCAACCGGGGAGGGUCAUUGGAAACUGGGAGACUUGAGUGCAGAAGAGGAGAGUGGAAUUCCAUGUGUUAGCGGGUGAAAUGCGUAGA
Molecule: ribosomal RNA, 575 nt
Filed under: Enterococcus sp.
Lineage: Bacteria; Bacillati; Bacillota; Bacilli; Lactobacillales; Enterococcaceae
Description: bacterial SSU rRNA
Rfam family: Bacterial small subunit ribosomal RNA
Source: RNAcentral